GAGUAUUUACAUAACCUUAAAGAUAAAGGUCGGUGCACAGCCAAAAUUACUAUUUUGUCCUUUGUUUAAUCCUCCACAUAAAUUACAAGAAUGCCAGAUCCGACGUCCAAUAUUUGUUCACCACCUCCCUCACUGUGUUAAAGCCUCUCAAAACUCUAGGUGAAUAUGUACGAUCUGAUACCACGAUCGACGGUCAAAAUCAGCGAACCAAAUAGGGUAAAUCCACAAGAAUGAUGUGAUCCGCGCACACCUGCUAUACGUUUGCAGUGCUCGCAGGUAACAACAGUUCCGAAGGAGUUUAGGGAGUCACGGUGGUUGUAAUCCGGCGGCGGUAUGAUGGGGUUAGGUUUUCCAGGCCCGAUCUGUUGUGUUGUCUGUAGAUCGAUCUCAUGCAAUAACAUUUGAACAGAAUCCGGUGCUCUCAAGUUGUCGCGUGACUCUGGUGGUUUAGGGUUUUCAGGACCGCUACAACUAUGACCAUAAUUCUGGUGAUCUCUGCAGCUCCCUGCUUUGUAUUUUGGCGAUCUAUUGGAAACUCGAUGCUGUUGCCAUGACUCCGGAAGCAGCAACACCGGUGUUUGUUACUCUCUCAAUGAGGAUGUAUCAGAGAUUGGGGUUUGAAUCGGAUCUUGGAGAAGGAUGUGUGAAACAAGUUACGCUUUCGGUGAUUCUUCACCUGUUUGGCCCGUUUUGUCUUCAGCUAAUUCUGCAUAUUCCCUGUUUUGGUUUAGCAGAUGCCAAAAUCCAAAGGGAUUUUAUCGUAUGGUUAUGCAUUUGGCCGCGAGGAUUGCGGGUACGCUUAUUAGAACUUAAUAAGUUUCAAAAAGCUGCAAACAUGUUAAUACAGAUUUAGUAUGUCCCUAUGUGAUUUAGGCAGAGGAGAAAGUCAAAAUAACUUUCAUAUAUCAAAGUCAAAGUGUACGUCUAUAUAUAUGUAAUAUGUGUGUUCUUGAUGAAAACACCUACUGGGUGGAAUCCCAUACUUUUGCUCUUUGUAUGAUUUUUCUACUACUCAUAGAAAACACAUAUGUCAUUAAUUUUUAUUAUUGUUUUUUUUUCCAAUUUGCAACUUCUAUGAUGAAAACACCUACUGGGUGGAAUCCCAUAUUGUUAUGGCUAACAUGUUUCUCAUCAAUGUAAUUGGUGGCUAUCAGGUAUCACUAACAAUUAUGUGUCUCUUUUAUAUUUUUUUCCUUAAUUUCGCAUGUUCACAUACAUCAUUUGUUGGCAAGACUUUGAUGUCAUUUUUAGUUGCAGCAAAAUGGAUGACUUAGGUAAUGUGUUUAGACCAAGGUCGGUGCACAGCCAAAGUUACUAUUUUGUCCUUCGUUUAAUCCUCCACAUAAAUUACAAGAAUGCCAUGGAGAGAGACUGGGUGUUGACUAAUUAUGUGUUAUGAAGAAGAACUCUAAUCUAUGUUCAUGCUUCCCAAAGUUGUCAGCACCGACUGUCGCAACCACGUCACGACAAAAACACAAAAAGCUCUCUGGGUGUUGCCUAGGCGUGAUGUUCAAUUUAAUCACUCUAUUUUGCUUCUCUCAUCUUCAUCUUCACUAUUUUCAACCGACGAGGUGACUCCCUUUUGGUUCCGGAAGAAGUUGUAACAUAAUGUUCGGUCGGGACAAUGACGGGUGGUGACACCGCCACAUCAGGUGUGCUUUUGGGUUUCAAGUCAGUAGGUUCAAGACAGUUCUCCGGGCGGGUAAAUAGGCCUACAGGCAACCUUGGUUAAGUAUGAAAACUCUCAGUUAUCCUUUUCUGUUUGCAUGUUUGAUAAACUUCGUAGGUGACCGAGAUUUGUUUAAUGGCGGCCUGAAUAGCAUCGACGAAAUUAGACCCAAAUCUAGGGAUUGACGACGUUUUCCGGCGGUGGUAGUUGUGUGGGUUAUCGGCGGUAUUGGCAGAGUGGUUUCCGACAAUAGUGGUAGGGAGAGGGUGAGAGAUGAGAGAGAGAGAGAGGAGUCGGGAAUUCCUAAGAUGUGACGGCGGCUGUUUGGUGGUUGCGAAUAGGUGGUGGUGACAUUUUUGUGAUGGAGUUGCACAACUGAAAUGUUGUCCCGCCGCCAAAACUGGCCACCACUGGUGGUCCGUCCCCCACUCCUCUGUCUCUUACUCUCCUUGAAUGUUUUUUUUAAGAAUGGCUGAGGAAGGGUUGGUUUGAUGUGAGGAUGGUUGUAAGUUUUGAAGUUGAACCAUGGGUUAGAACAUGGUUUUGACAUGUUCUAAGAAUGGUUUUUAAACUUAGUUUUGACAUGUUCUUAGAACAGUAUUUAAACCGUUUUAUGAAAUAAUACUCAAAAUUAUUA
Molecule: long non-coding RNA, 2306 nt
Organism: Helianthus annuus (common sunflower)
Lineage: Eukaryota; Viridiplantae; Streptophyta; Magnoliopsida; Asterales; Asteraceae
Exons: 3
Source: RefSeq, a predicted model, not a curated record